CUGGUGAGCGGCGUCUGGCUAGCGCAUUCGACAGACGAUAACGUGAGACUGACAUCAACCGCAGGGGCAGGCAUAGGCAAGGUGGAUGCCACGUACCGCACUGGGAAGCAUUCUUGUAUUGGCGCAAAUUUGACGAAGCAAGCAACAGCCGCACCUUUAACAAUGUGUCGACAUUCCCUGCUACAAUUCGUCAGCCGGAGUUCAGCAUGUCCGUUGAGUACAUUAAUUACGGCCCUGGCGAUGGAAACACCCCGACUCAGUACCAGUGCGUUGAUGUGUUCAUCGACUCCAGUCCCGGUGUGCAAGUUGUCGCAGAUUACAGGCACGAGGGAACAGCUGCGCGGCGGAAGCGUCACAUCGUUGUCGGCGAGAGAGCUAGGAGAUUGUCGAGCUUUUCUCGGAGAGGCAGAAGAACAACCAUCAUGUCCUUAAUACCGCUUAGUUCUUCUCUGUUUUAUUCUUUUCUGCAUCCCAGAAUAACCCGGUUCUAUUGAUUAUCGACGGAAGAAUGUGAGCCCAAGGGCACCCACGGCUUUUCUAUUGCUUGAAGCUGCACUAUCCGGGAAUAUACGCGCCGGCGACGGCAUUCACAUUAGAAAGAAGGUAGCUGUAAACAAAGUGCAGCUGCGUCUUUGGCAAAGCCUGAAUAAAUACGUGGAGAAGCUCUGA
Long non-coding RNA from Dermacentor andersoni, 669 nucleotides. RefSeq lists it as uncharacterized. The record is from RefSeq and is a predicted model, not a curated record. NCBI's taxonomy places the organism in Eukaryota, Metazoa, Arthropoda, Arachnida, Ixodida, Ixodidae.